UGUGGAAUUGAUUAUAUUACAGUAGGCCUCAUUUGCUCUCUUCCCCAAUUUGCAUGAUUGGAUUAUUUAUUUAUUUAUUUUGGGGGGUAGUGGGUGGAUGGAGCCACGGAGGACAUUAUUAGUGACAUUCCAUAGGUGCUAUCAUUUCUUUAAUACACUCUGCAGAUGAUGCCUCCUGUUUUAUGUUAAUGAUAUUUAGAUGAUUCUCUGCUCUAUAACCAAUGCAAAAGUGUAAAAAAAAAAAAAAAUUGUGUGCACAUAUGCACUUGGCAUGUGUUUGUGUGAGAAGAAGAGUUGUUCAUUUAAUUUCUUUCUAGUUCAUGGUCCAUUAUAUUGCACAGAUCCUUGAUAAGGCUUUACAAUUAAGCCUUGGUUAUUAGAAAUGGAAAAGUUUGCAUACCAAUCUGCUUAGCCUUACAACCAACAGCUAGCCUAGGAUUCUUGCUGCCCAGCAGCAAGCUGAAAAUUAACAAAGUCUUACAGGAAUCAUGACUUUUCGGCUUCCUUUUUUUCUUCCCUUUUUUUUUAAACCUGUUAGUUUUUUCUUUUUCCCCUCUUUUUUCAUAGUGAAGAGCCUCAAGGAAAAGGCCUCACAUUUAUUAGAAGAAUGUUACAAUGAGGAUGGCCUUGAUAUUAUGGUCUCAAAGAGCCUUAAUUAGACUCGAUCUGCAUUCUGUGCUAACAGGGUAUUACCAUGUCAUAGUGUCAGAGGAAGUCCCACAUUUGUUUUGAAAUUUAGAACUGAAUUUUCUGCAUAAUCUUUUCGAACUUUAGAUUCAUAACUUAAGAACAGUCUCACCUGGUAAUCAAUGCUACACCUACAUGGCAAAUAGAUACAAGGGACA
RNAcentral lists this unclassified non-coding RNA (845 nucleotides) under Hevea brasiliensis (rubber tree). The record is from RNAcentral. Lineage: Eukaryota; Viridiplantae; Streptophyta; Magnoliopsida; Malpighiales; Euphorbiaceae.